Clupea harengus (Atlantic herring) is the source of this 1552-nucleotide long non-coding RNA. The record is from Ensembl. Lineage: Eukaryota; Metazoa; Chordata; Actinopteri; Clupeiformes; Clupeidae.
AAAAAAAAAAAAAAAGAUACCCAUCCCUAAGCGCGUCCUCACUGCAUCCUACUGCGACGCAACGGACAUUCAUGUACUUUUAAUCGUCAACGGAGUCUUCUACAGUGCCUAUUGUACAUCCACACAUACAGUAUCUCCAUGAACUGGUUCAUCUUGGCUGGCAUGUGUGAAAUAGGGCUGCAUUCACUGCACUAUACACACGCAAAACAAACCCACAGCAUCACACACUCCUAGAACAUCAUACAUAUAGCAUCACACACUCCUAGAACAUCAUACAUAUGCUUUUUCUAUGUCAUUUAACACACAGCAAUUCCACGUUGCAUGACACACACACAGACAGCAUCCUACCUAGCAACAGUGACAUACUCCACUUUGGUCAUCACCCAGUCUCAGACACACAAAUCAGACAACCUUGUGUGUGUGUGUGUGUGUGUCUAGGCGGGCUCCCAGCGGUUCAGUGAGAACAUGCCACACAAGUUCGAAAUCCGCAGCUACAAAGUUCCCACCUUCUGCAACCACUGCAGCUCCAUGCUGUGGGGCUUCAUGCGUCAGGGCCUUCAGUGCAAAGGUGAGACCCGUUCCCCUCUUCAUACUGGCCACCCCCUAGAGUAACACAUCUCAUGCGCCAGGGCCUUCAGUGCAAAGCCUGUAAGAUGAAUGUGCACAAGCACUGUGAGAAUAAUGUGGCUCCUAGCUGUGAAUGAAUCAAUGAAGUUCAGAGUCUGGGAGAAGAUGCAAGAGAUUGUUCAAUAAACUCCUGUGACUCUGGAUCCCAACACUGCACACCCAAAACUCAUCCUCAGUUCCUCAGAUAUGGAGGAGAUGGGAUAGAAUUUUCUCCUUACUUUUCAUGAUUUUGCUGAUUUUCAGAAUCUCUACACACACACCUGUUCCCUAAUAACCUGAUAUCUUCAUGCCUAAACUGCUCUGGGAAUGAGUUGAUUAUGAUGUUUGGAUUAAUGAUUAUGUUUCAGAUCAAAAUAAAUAGUUAGGUUAUUAGAUGUUUGUCCUGUUCGCAUUAAAUACAUUUAUAAUCUAUGACAUCUGUGACAUGUCAUUAAUAUCUGUAAUCUAGAAUAUUCCAUAACUGUCUAAUGCAAGCUGGUGACAUAGGCAUCGCCCUCUACACACUCAACAUUCCACACCUCCCAGUUUCUGAUUACUGACUCCACCCACAUCAUCACACACCUGAAAGCCAUUAUGGACUCAGUAAGUCACUGAAUAAGUACCUGUGUCACCUGUUAUGAUACCACUAUUCAAGUCUACUUCCUGGCUGAGCAUCCCUGGUAGUCUUGAUACUCACCUGUGUCUGCCUCUCCCUUUACUGAUUUUAACUGAGCCUUUUGAUGAACCUGUUUUCCUGUGUACUGGUCUCCUGCCUUAUUGCCUUUCAUGAGUGUGCACCAUUGUAAAGAAUAAACCUGGUUCCUUAUCAAAAACCAUCCUCUUGACAGAGUCUCCAUGUAUCUGUGGUAUUAGAACAUGAGAUAUGAGAUGAGAUAUUUUGGGGAUUUGCUGAGAUUUGAGUCUGCUGUAAGAUCCUCAUCACCCC